Oreochromis niloticus (Nile tilapia) is the source of this 155-nucleotide long non-coding RNA. RefSeq lists it as uncharacterized. The transcript is spliced from 3 exons. Lineage: Eukaryota; Metazoa; Chordata; Actinopteri; Cichliformes; Cichlidae. The record is from RefSeq and is a predicted model, not a curated record.
UAGGAGGGCUAACUAGGCUCAUAAAAUGAUUAGAUGAUGAUAGCCCUACACAAAGGAAGAGGACAGAGGGCCUCAUUUUCUAAAGGAAGAGCCCUUACACACGUUCAAGACUGAAACCGACAGGUAUUGAAGACACGUCAUCCUAAGAGGAUGAA